This 466-nucleotide ribosomal RNA is filed under the name uncultured bacterium. RNAcentral describes it as "bacterial SSU rRNA". It matches the Rfam family "Bacterial small subunit ribosomal RNA", at positions 339 to 797 of the family's 1533-position model. The record is from RNAcentral.
UUACGGGAGGCAGCAGUGGGGAAUUUUGCGCAAUGGACGAAAGUCUGACGCAGCAACGCCGCGUGGGUGAUGAAGGUCUUCGGAUUGUAAAACCCUGUCGUCAGGGACGAAGGUAGGGAACCUAAUAAGUUUUCUGCUUGACGGUACCUGGAGAGGAAGCCCCGGCUAACUCUGUGCCAGCAGCCGCGGUAAUACAGAGGGGGCAAGCGUUAUUCGGAAUUAUUGGGCGUAAAGGGCGCGUAGGCGGUUUUGUAAGUAGGAUGUGUAAUCCCCGAGCUCAACUUGGGAACUGCAUCCUAGACUGCAAGGCUAGAGUACUGGAGAGGGUGGUAGAAUUCCACGUGUAGCGGUGAAAUGCGUAGAGAUGUGGAGGAAUACCAGUGGCGAAGGCGGCCACCUGGACAGUAACUGACGCUGAGGCGCGAAAGUGUGGGUAGCAAACAGGAUUAGAAACCCGAGUAGUCCC